RNAcentral lists this long non-coding RNA (249 nucleotides) under Elaeis guineensis (African oil palm). RNAcentral's name for it is "long non-coding RNA (EGUI_LNC044515)". Lineage: Eukaryota; Viridiplantae; Streptophyta; Magnoliopsida; Arecales; Arecaceae. The record is from RNAcentral.
UUGUCAAUGUGAAUGUGAUCCCUUGGUUUCAAUGUGGAUGUAGUGCAUUGUUUUUCAAUGAAUUAUGAAUGUGAUACAUUCUUUUUUAAUGAAUUAAGAAUAUCAUAUUAUUUAGGUUUUCUGUUGGUUAUGUAUCACAUUAGCACUUAAUGUGCUACUAAUGUAUGUGCAGUUAAUCAGUGGCAGUUGAAACUCUGAUUGUUUAGGUUAGCUAUUGAUUAUGUAUCACAUUAGCAGCUAAUGUAUUGC